Molecule: ribosomal RNA, 270 nt
Filed under: uncultured prokaryote
Description: partial 16S ribosomal RNA
Rfam family: Bacterial small subunit ribosomal RNA
Source: RNAcentral
UACGUAGGGUGCGAGCGUUGUCCGGAAUUACUGGGCGUAAAGAGCUCGUAGGUGGUUUGUCACGUCGUCUGUGAAAUUCCGGGGCUUAACCUCGGGCGUGCAGGCGAUACGGGCAAUACUUGAGUACUGUAGGGGAGACUGGAAUUCCUGGUGUAGCGGUGAAAUGCGCAGAUAUCAGGAGGAACACCAAUGGCGAAGGCAGGUCUCUGGGCAGUUACUGACGCUGAGGAGCGAAAGCAUGGGUAGCGAACAGGAUUAGAUACCCCCGUA